RNAcentral lists this unclassified non-coding RNA (358 nucleotides) under soil metagenome. RNAcentral describes it as "partial contains 5.8S ribosomal RNA, internal transcribed spacer 2, and large subunit ribosomal RNA". The stretch from base 1 to 120 matches the Rfam family "5.8S ribosomal RNA", at positions 35 to 154 of the family's 154-position model. The record is from RNAcentral.
GAUGAAGAACGUAGUGAAAUGCGAUAAGUAGUGUGAAUUGCAGAAUUCAGUGAAUCAUCGAAUCUUUGAACGCACAUUGCGCCCGUCAGUAUUCUGGCGGGCAUGCCUGUUCGAGCGUCAUUACGCCCCUCAAGUCCCCUGUGGACUCGGUGUUGGGGAUCGGCGAGGCUGGUUUUCCAGCACAGCCGUCCCUUAAAUUAAUUGGCGGUCUCGCCGUGGCCCUCCUCUGCGCAGUAGUAAAACACUCGCAACAGGAGCCCGGCGCGGUCCACUGCCGUAAAACCCCCCAACUUUUUAUAGUUGACCUCGAAUCAGGUAGGACUACCCGCUGAACUUAAGCAUAUCAAUAAGCGGAGGA